UUAACCCCCUAAGCAGUAGGGAAAUAGAUCAAAGGUGAUGGGCCUUAAACCCCUAAGUAGUAGGGUAACAGGCUGAAUUUACAGAUCUUAUCACCCUAAGCAGUAGGGGAACAGAUCAAAGGCAAUGGGCCUUAAACCCCUAAGCAAUAGGGUUACAGACUGAAUUUAUAGAUCUUAUCACCCUAAGCAGUAGGGAAAUAGAUCAAAGGCGAUGCGCCUUAAAC
RNAcentral lists this long non-coding RNA (224 nucleotides) under Gossypium barbadense (sea-island cotton). Its description in RNAcentral is "long non-coding RNA (GBAR_LNC009587)". The record is from RNAcentral. Lineage: Eukaryota; Viridiplantae; Streptophyta; Magnoliopsida; Malvales; Malvaceae.